AGCGUACACGGUGGAUGCCCUGGCAGUCAGAGGCGAUGAAGGGCGUGCUAAUCUGCGAUAAGCGCCGGUAAGGUGAUAUGAACCGUUAUAACCGGCGAUACCCGAAUGGGGAAACCCAGUGUGAUUCGUCACACUAUCAUUAACUGAAUCCAUAGGUUAAUGAGGCGAACCGGGGGAACUGAAACAUCUAAGUACCCCGAGGAAAAGAAAUCAACCGAGAUUCCCCCAGUAGCGGCGAGCGAACGGGGAGGAGCCCAGAGCCUGAAUCAGCAUGUGUGUUAGUGGAAGCGUCUGGAAAGGCGCGCGAUACAGGGUGACAGCCCCGUACACAAAAGCGCAUGUGCUGUGAGCUCGAUGAGUAGGGCGGGACACGUGGUAUCCUGUCUGAAUAUGGGGGGACCAUCCUCCAAGGCUAAAUACUCCUGACUGACCGAUAGUGAACCAGUACCGUGAGGGAAAGGCGAAAAGAACCCCGGCGAGGGGAGUGAAAAAGAACCUGAAACCGUGUACGUACAAGCAGUGGGAGCACAGGUUUACCUGUGUGACUGCGUACCUUUUGUAUAAUGGGUCAGCGACUUAUAUUCUGUAGCAAGGUUAACCGUAUAGGGGAGCCGUAGGGAAACCGAGUCUUAACCGGGCGUUAAGUUGCAGGGUAUAGACCCGAAACCCGGUGAUCUAGCCAUGGGCAGGUUGAAGGUUGGGUAACACUAACUGGAGGACCGAACCGACUAAUGUUGAAAAAUUAGCGGAUGACCUGUGGCUGGGGGUGAAAGGCCAAUCAAACCGGGAGAUAGCUGGUUCUCCCCGAAAGCUAUUUAGGUAGCGCCUCGUGAAUUCAUCUCCGGGGGUAGAGCACUGUUUCGGCUAGGGGGCCAUCCCGGCUUACCAACCCGAUGCAAACUGCGAAUACCGGAGAAUGUUAUCACGGGAGACACACGGCGGGUGCUAACGUCCGUCGUGAAGAGGGAAACAACCCAGACCGCCAGCUAAGGUCCCAAAGUCAUGGUUAAGUGGGAAACGAUGUGGGAAGGCCCAGACAGCCAGGAUGUUGGCUUAGAAGCAGCCAUCAUUUAAAGAAAGCGUAAUAGCUCACUGGUCGAGUCGGCCUGCGCGGAAGAUGUAACGGGGCUAAACCAUGCACCGAAGCUGCGGCAGCGACGCUGAUGCGUUGUUGGGUAGGGGAGCGUUCUGUAAGCCUGCGAAGGUGACCUGUGAGGGUUGCUGGAGGUAUCAGAAGUGCGAAUGCUGACAUAAGUAACGAUAAAGCGGGUGAAAAGCCCGCUCGCCGGAAGACCAAGGGUUCCUGUCCAACGUUAAUCGGGGCAGGGUGAGUCGACCCCUAAGGCGAGGCCGAAAGGCGUAGUCGAUGGGAAACGGGUUAAUAUUCCCGUACUUGGUGUUACUGCGAAGGGGGGACGGAGAAGGCUAUGUUGGCCGGGCGACGGUUGUCCCGGUUUAAGCGUGUAGGUGUGUGUUCCAGGUAAAUCCGGUUCACUUUAACACUGAGGCGUGAUGACGAGGCACUACGGUGCUGAAGCAACAAAUGCCCUGCUUCCAGGAAAAGCCUCUAAGCAUCAGGUAACAUCAAAUCGUACCCCAAACCGACACAGGUGGUCAGGUAGAGAAUACCAAGGCGCUUGAGAGAACUCGGGUGAAGGAACUAGGCAAAAUGGUGCCGUAACUUCGGGAGAAGGCACGCUGACACGUAGGUGAAGUGAUUUACUCACGGAGCUGAAGUCAGUCGAAGAUACCAGCUGGCUGCAACUGUUUAUUAAAAACACAGCACUGUGCAAACACGAAAGUGGACGUAUACGGUGUGACGCCUGCCCGGUGCCGGAAGGUUAAUUGAUGGGGUCAGCGCAAGCGAAGCUCCUGAUCGAAGCCCCGGUAAACGGCGGCCGUAACUAUAACGGUCCUAAGGUAGCGAAAUUCCUUGUCGGGUAAGUUCCGACCUGCACGAAUGGCGUAAUGAUGGCCAGGCUGUCUCCACCCGAGACUCAGUGAAAUUGAACUCGCUGUGAAGAUGCAGUGUACCCGCGGCAAGACGGAAAGACCCCGUGAACCUUUACUAUAGCUUGACACUGAACAUUGAGCCUUGAUGUGUAGGAUAGGUGGGAGGCUUUGAAGUGUGGACGCCAGUCUGCAUGGAGCCGACCUUGAAAUACCACCCUUUAAUGUUUGAUGUUCUAACGUGGACCCGUAAUCCGGGUUGCGGACAGUGUCUGGUGGGUAGUUUGACUGGGGCGGUCUCCUCCUAAAGAGUAACGGAGGAGCACGAAGGUUGGCUAAUCCUGGUCGGACAUCAGGAGGUUAGUGCAAUGGCAUAAGCCAGCUUGACUGCGAGCGUGACGGCGCGAGCAGGUGCGAAAGCAGGUCAUAGUGAUCCGGUGGUUCUGAAUGGAAGGGCCAUCGCUCAACGGAUAAAAGGUACUCCGGGGAUAACAGGCUGAUACCGCCCAAGAGUUCAUAUCGACGGCGGUGUUUGGCACCUCGAUGUCGGCUCAUCACAUCCUGGGGCUGAAGUAGGUCCCAAGGGUAUGGCUGUUCGCCAUUUAAAGUGGUACGCGAGCUGGGUUUAGAACGUCGUGAGACAGUUCGGUCCCUAUCUGCCGUGGGCGCUGGAGAACUGAGGGGGGCUGCUCCUAGUACGAGAGGACCGGAGUGGACGCAUCACUGGUGUUCGGGUUGUCAUGCCAAUGGCACUGCCCGGUAGCUAAAUGCGGAAGAGAUAAGUGCUGAAAGCAUCUAAGCACGAAACUUGCCCCGAGAUGAGUUCU
RNAcentral lists this ribosomal RNA (2777 nucleotides) under Salmonella enterica subsp. enterica serovar Typhimurium. RNAcentral's name for it is "bacterial LSU rRNA". It matches the Rfam family "Bacterial large subunit ribosomal RNA". Lineage: Bacteria; Pseudomonadati; Pseudomonadota; Gammaproteobacteria; Enterobacterales; Enterobacteriaceae. The record is from RNAcentral.